CCUACGGGAGACAGCAGUGGGGAAUAUUGCACAAUGGGGGAAACCCUGAUGCAGCGACGCCGCGUGAGUGAAGACGUAUUUCGGUAUGUAAAGCUCUAUCAGCAGGGAAGAAAAUGACGGUACCUGAUUAAGAAGCCCCGGCUAACUACGUGCCAGCAGCCGCGGUAAUACGUAGGGGGCAAGCGUUAUCCGGAUUUACUGGGUGUAAAGGGAGCGUAGACGGCAGCACAAGUCUGGAGGGAAAUGCCGGGGCUUAACCCCGGAACUGCUUUGGAAACUGUGCAGCUAGAGUGAAGGAGAGGUAAGUGGAAUUCCUGGUGUAGCGGUGAAAUGCGUAGAUAUUAGGAGGAACACCAGUGGCGAAGGCGGCUUACUGGACUGUAACUGACGUUGAGGCUCGAAAGCGUGGGGAGCAAACAGGAUUAGAUACCCGGGUAGUC
Molecule: ribosomal RNA, 440 nt
Filed under: uncultured bacterium
Lineage: Bacteria
Description: partial 16S ribosomal RNA
Rfam family: Bacterial small subunit ribosomal RNA
Source: RNAcentral